Halolamina sp. CBA1230 is the source of this 90-nucleotide non-coding RNA. The record is from Rfam. Lineage: Archaea; Methanobacteriati; Methanobacteriota; Halobacteria; Halobacteriales; Haloferacaceae.
CCCGAUAGCUCGGGACGAAAUGUGGUCGGCGGAGGCGCUACGCGCCUCCAAAAGGCGGCGAAGCCGCCGACUCGUCGACUGAAUCGCAAG